This 309-nucleotide ribosomal RNA is filed under the name uncultured bacterium. RNAcentral describes it as "partial 16S ribosomal RNA". It matches the Rfam family "Bacterial small subunit ribosomal RNA", at positions 504 to 807 of the family's 1533-position model. The record is from RNAcentral.
AGAGACAGCAGUCGCCGCGGUAAUACGGAGGGUGCAAGCGUUAAUCGGAAUUACUGGGCGUAAAGCGCACGCAGGCGGUCUGACAAGUCAGAUGUGAAAUCCCCGGGCUUAACCUGGGAACUGCAUUUGAAACUGUCAGGCUGGAGUCUUGUAGAGGGGGGUAGAAUUCCAGGUGUAGCGGUGAAAUGCGUAGAGAUCUGGAGGAAUACCGGUGGCGAAGGCGGCCCCCUGGACAAAGACUGACGCUCAGGUGCGAAAGCGUGGGGAGCAAACAGGAUUAGAUACCCCUGUAGUCCCUGUCUCUUAUAC